UACGGAGGGGGCAAACGUUGUUCGGAAUUACUGGGCGUAAAGGGUGCGUAGGCGGUUCGGUAAGUCUGGUGUGAAAGCCCACAGCUCACCUGUGGAUCCGCACUGGAAACUGCUGAGCUCGAGGAUGGGAGAGGCAGGUGGAAUUCCUGGUGUAGCGGUGGAAUGCGUAGAUAUCAGGAAGAACACUCGUGGCGAAGGCGGCCUGCUGGCCCAUUUCUGACGCUGAGGCACGAAAGCCAGGGGAGCAAACGGG
Molecule: ribosomal RNA, 253 nt
Filed under: uncultured bacterium
Lineage: Bacteria
Description: partial 16S ribosomal RNA
Rfam family: Bacterial small subunit ribosomal RNA
Source: RNAcentral